CCUACGGGUGGCAGCAGUGAGGAAUAUUGGUCAAUGGACGCAAGUCUGAACCAGCCAUGCAGCGUGCAGGAUGACGGCCCUAUGAGUUGUAAACUGCUUUUGUACGAGGGUAAACGCAGGUACGUGUAUCUUUUUGCAAGUAUCGUAUGAAUAAGGAUCGGCUAACUCCGUGCCAGCAGCCGCGGUAAUACGGAGGAUUCGAGCGUUAUCCGGAUUUAUUGGGUUUAAAGGGUGCGUAGGCGGUCGGAUAAGUUAGAGGUGAAAUCCCGAGGCUCAACUUCGGAAUUGCAUCUGAUACUGGGCGGCUAGAGAGUAGCUGCGGUAGGCGGAAUGUAUGGUGUAGCGGUGAAAUGCUUAGAGAUCACACAGAACACCGAUUGCGAAGGCAGCUUACCAAGCUACUUCUGACGUUGAGGCACGAAAGCGUGGGUAGCAAACAGGAUUAGAUACCCUUGUAGUC
This 460-nucleotide ribosomal RNA is filed under the name uncultured bacterium. RNAcentral describes it as "partial 16S ribosomal RNA". It matches the Rfam family "Bacterial small subunit ribosomal RNA", at positions 338 to 795 of the family's 1533-position model. The record is from RNAcentral.